RNAcentral lists this ribosomal RNA (513 nucleotides) under uncultured Bacillota bacterium. RNAcentral describes it as "bacterial SSU rRNA". It matches the Rfam family "Bacterial small subunit ribosomal RNA", at positions 392 to 896 of the family's 1533-position model. Lineage: Bacteria; Bacillati; Bacillota. The record is from RNAcentral.
CAACGCCGCGUGAGUGAUGAAGGUUUUCGGAUCGUAAAGCUCUGUUGUUAGGGAAGAACAAGUAUCGGAGUAACUGCCGGUACCUUGACGGUACCUAACCAGAAAGCCACGGCUAACUACGUGCCAGCAGCCGCGGUAAUACGUAGGUGACAAGCGUUGUCCGGAAUUAUUGGGCGUAAAGCGCGCGCAGGCGGUCCUUUAAGUCUGAUGUGAAAGCCCACGGCUCAACCGUGGAGGGUCAUUGGAAACUGGGGGACUUGAGUACAGAAGAGGAAAGUGGAAUUCCACGUGUAGCGGUGAAAUGCGUAGAGAUGUGGAGGAACACCAGUGGCGAAGGCGACUUUCUGGUCUGUAACUGACGCUGAGGCGCGAAAGCGUGGGGAGCAAACAGGAUUAGAUACCCUGGUAGUCCACGCCGUAAACGAUGAGUGCUAAGUGUUAGAGGGUUUCCGCCCUUUAGUGCUGCAGCAAACGCAUUAAGCACUCCGCCUGGGGAGUACGGUCGCAAGACUG